GAGAGAGAGAGAGAGAGAGGGUGAUAGGUCCAUUCCAAUAGGCAAAGAUUAAAAAACAUUUCAAUACAAGUUGUAUAAAAUAAAAUAGAGUACCACCCAGAGUUCAAAUUUAUGAAAUAUUCUUUACAGAGACACCUCCGAUUCUUAGGCCCAUGAUACAUCUAUAUAUUUGUUAUUGAUGAGCCUAGAUAAGGCCUGGCAUAUGAUCAUUCAUUUAGAGCACCAUAUGGUCUACUGCACUCUACUGCUUACAUCCACAAAAUAUAAUCAUAUUGCUAUGCGCAUAAUAAUAUGAUGCAGAUGUACAGACUGUAGCAUCCAUAAAAUAUUUUUUAAAACUGACAAUCUGUUGGAUAAGAUGAUACAGGUUCUAGUUCAUCCAAUCUACGGAACAGUGCAUGAAACUAACAUUCAAGUGGCUGAACCAGCCACAAACAUGGUACACCCUGAAUGUAGUUCUCGGGGAGAUUUAGCUUGAAACAGAAUGUGACAAGGCUGGCCUUUUGAAUAAUAGGUACUACUCAUUUUUUCCAGCUGAGUGGAUUGGAGAAAUGUGAAAUAAAGUGUCUUCCUCAAGGACACCUUGCAUCACCAGGAACUGAAGUCAUGACCUUACGAUUGUGAGCCAAGUACCUUGACUACUAAGCCAUGCACCUCUGCUUAGAAUAUAUAUCAGGAUUAAGUAACAAGAGAAAACAAGAGUGAUUAAUCUUGUUAUUUCCUCCUUUACACAAGUUUCACUGAUACAUAAUUAGUGAGCACCUGUGAUAAGUUUUAUUAUAAUUUCUUGACAGCAGCUGACAACUUGGGUUCACUUAGAAUCUUUUAUCUGGUAAAUAUUCUAAGGUUUAUUUAUGUCUUUUUAUUCCUUUCUUGAUUCAGCCAGUUUAUUUUGGCCAUUCUAAAGUAGGGAGGCACUUACUUGGUAUAUUUUGUUUCAUAUUUUACUAAUUUUUAUCAAUACAUUUGUAAUUAUUCUUUUAGUUUUGUGUAUGUAUGUGUGUCUAUUAGUGGAUGUAAAGGUUCAUGUGUGUGUGUGUGCUGUUAUUCCUGCUGUUGUCACAACGGUUAUAAUAGUCAAUUCAGAAGUUGUUUUUGAGGUUGUGGUGCUGUUGUUGUUGUUGUUUUUUGCUAUUGCUUUUGUUACUGGGUUGUCACAUGAGUAAACCUUACUCAAGCAGGUUGCACCUUGGCAUAGAGAAGCCCAACCAAAUUACGAAACUAUGUAUGUCUUGGGUUCUUGUUGCCACACUUCAGCCUAGUCUAAUCUGGAACCACCAAUGCUGCAUAUUAAUGGGUAGUAGUGGAUUGACACAAACAGCAGAGAGAUAACAGGCAAAAACAAAACAAAAAUCCUCUACAUAUUGUACCCUUACAUUCUGAGUUCAAAUCUUGCCAAAGUCAACUUUGCCUUUAAUCUGAAACUACAAGCCAAAAAAAUAAGCACAAUUUGAGUACUUGGGCUGAUAUAAUUGACUGCACCCAUCAUCCCUUAUAGGUUGAAACCUUGUGCCUAUCUUAGAAAUCAAUACCACACAUUCUGUUAUUCAGCAGCUGGUUUAAUUGUCAAAAUUGUGAGCUGUGCAGUUUGGCACUCAAGACACAUAAUUUAUGUCUAAAUGGAAAGCCAAUAUCUAAAUGUUUCAGUCACAGAUCAGGUAUCAAAGCCAUCCAUUUCAUUAUGGAAGAUCACUGUUUAAAUUAUUAGAUAUUUUUUCCACUCACAGAAAUAUAAUAUGACUCCAUUUUUGGUUCUUACCAUAUUACUUUUCACCAAUGCAAACCAUCACUUUGGCUUUGUAAAUUCUAGUAAUUUUAUUCUCAUAUUUAUGUGUAUUUAUGUGUGAUAUAUAUAUAUAUAUAUAUAUAUAGAUAUUGAUAUAUAUAUAUAUAUAUAUAUAUAUAUAUAUAUAUUGAUAUACUAAUGAAUGUUAUGAAUAUGUAUGCAGCAAUUUGAAAAGUUAUUAAUCAAAAUGCAAAAAUCAAGUGAUGUAAGGACAAAAACAAAAAAAGAGAGAGAGAAUUAAAGAAUGAUACACAGAGAUUGCCAUAGACAGACAGAUAGACAGACAGACAGAUAGAUAGAUAGAUAGAUAGAUAGAGAGUCAGAGAGUGCGAGAGUGAGAGUAGGAGGAAAUGUGAUGAUGAGGCAGAUGACGGAAGUAAAUAAAUAAAGAAAAGUGGUUCGAAUUGGAGGUGGAGGAAGAGGAUAAGAAACAUUUGAAUGAACAAAAGGAGAAAGGCUGAAGAGUAUUUACGGGAGAAUCAAUGGGUUGGGGGGUGAAAAAAUGGAGGGUAGAAAGAAAUGAUGGAGACAGUGGUAGAACGAUGAUGCAAGUGAAAGAAGUUGAAGGAUGAGGUGGAAAAUAAGGAAAGACCCUUCAUUUUUUUAUGCUGAGACAUUCCAAUUGAAUUGACUACAUGUUAUUUUAUUUUUUCAAUGUUUUUUUUUGGUUAUGUAUUUAUUUUGAAUUUUUAUUAUUAUUACUAUUAUCAUUAUUACUAUUAUUAUUAUUAUUAUUAUUAUCAUUGAUUCAGAUAUUAGAAUUUCCCUCACAACAGAGACAAAAACCUUAUUUGAAUAUUGUCUGAGAAGAAAAAAAAAAUGAACAAGUUAAAAAAGAAAAAAAUAAUAAAUAAAUAAAUAAAUACUGAAGUGGGCCAAAGAAAUAAACUAACUCAACCAAAAAAUA
Molecule: long non-coding RNA, 2693 nt
Organism: Octopus sinensis (East Asian common octopus)
Lineage: Eukaryota; Metazoa; Mollusca; Cephalopoda; Octopoda; Octopodidae
Exons: 2
Source: RefSeq, a predicted model, not a curated record